This 900-nucleotide ribosomal RNA is filed under the name Triticum aestivum (bread wheat). Its description in RNAcentral is "partial small subunit ribosomal RNA". Lineage: Eukaryota; Viridiplantae; Streptophyta; Magnoliopsida; Poales; Poaceae. The record is from RNAcentral.
AUGAAGCUAUAUCUUAUUCAACAGCUAAAAGAUUUUAAUGUCCCAGGUUAUAGAACUCAGAAUGCAUGGAGUAAAGAGGCAUGGAAUAAGAUUCUGGAUAACAUAAACAAAAAGUUUGGCUUGUCACUAGAUGUUAAAAAAGUGAAACAAAAGGAACAGGAUCUGAAGAAAGACUUCUGCAUUAUGAAAGAGUUGGCAGCUGAGAGUGGCUUUGGUUGGGACCGUAUCGGAAUGAAAGUUGUUGCCCCAGAUGCCGUUUGGGAAUCAUUUGCGGAGCGUCGUAACACGGAUGCACUCAUAUGGAGAGACAAACACUUUCCAUAUUAUGAUGAUUUAUUUGCAUUGUAUGAAGGACGGUAUGCUGAAGGAAGGAAUAGGCGUGGCAUGGACUAUUAUGCAGAUAGGGAUAAAGAACCAUCACAAACCAAAUUUGCAGAAUCACAAGGGACCAAUGAUUAUGAUGGAUCACCCUCACCUAAUAUAAAUGCUGCUGAUUUUCCCAUUGAAGAAGAAGGUGAGAAAGACACUUCUGAUUUUCCCCAGCAGCAAUGCCCAUCAAGGCGCUCCACACAAAUGAAUUCUCAGUUUGUGAAAACACCGGAAAUGUGUGGAGCAAGACCCACAAAGAGGCAGAAAAAUAGUGAUUUUCAAGAGAAGUACUUGAAGCUCAAGAAAGAAGAAAUUGAACGGUUUGCAGCUAUUGAGGAGAAGAAGCUUGAGGAUCCCUAUAGCAUCAGUAGGUGUGUCACAACACUUGAACGUCUACCUGGUCUACAAAUGGCUGAUAUGGUGAUGGCUGCUGAUAUCUUCAAAAGCAAGGAGAAUAGAGAGCUUUUCCUAUCAUUUUCUACGGAUGAACCAAGGUUAGCCUGGCUCAAAAGGCAGAUUGGGCAUAUCUAA